CUCCCUCCAGCCCAGCCUCGCUAGCUCCGCCUGCGAAUGCCUGUCUGGGGAGGUGGAAACAAGUGUGGGGCCUGUGGGAGGACCGUGUACCACGCAGAAGAGGUGCAGUGUGAUGGCAGGAGCUUCCACCGCUGCUGCUUUCUCUGCAGUAAGUAGCUCUCCAUGCUCCACCUUUGACGGAAUUUGUAUGUACAGAGCUUCAAUAUGUCUAUUUAAGGAAAAAUUGUGGUUUUGCCAACAAAGAUCAUUUUGAAAGCACGAAUGGUUUUUACCUGUCUUCUUAGAUGUUGUAAAUGCCAAGCCUAGCAGCGAAGACAGGAGGGGUGGCCCAAGACACCCAGCCUCCCUUUGUGUCCCCAUAGCUUUUGGCCUCCAUUUUGGCCUUUAUUUUGUUAACACAUCUGCCUCCCCCACCUCACUGAGUGCUGGGUGUCACUUAUGUGGUCUGGCACCUAGCACAGUUUCUGGCACAUUACAAGGGCUUAGCUCCCAUUUUUGAGUAAAUGAUUGCUCCUCAUCCACCCCAGCUUUCUCUUUCUCAGGUUCCCUUUAAUGACAACAAAGUCUUCGGUUUUAAAACUGUAGAGUAGCAACUUAAAGCACUUCAUUAAUCAUCUUCUGAUUUAAU
Molecule: long non-coding RNA, 628 nt
Filed under: Homo sapiens (human)
Lineage: Eukaryota; Metazoa; Chordata; Mammalia; Primates; Hominidae
Description: non-protein coding lnc-E2F7-6:1
Source: RNAcentral